RNAcentral lists this ribosomal RNA (301 nucleotides) under uncultured bacterium. RNAcentral's name for it is "partial 16S ribosomal RNA". It matches the Rfam family "Bacterial small subunit ribosomal RNA", at positions 509 to 807 of the family's 1533-position model. The record is from RNAcentral.
CAGUAGCCGCGGUAAUACGUAGGGCGCAAGCGUUGUCCGGAAUUACUGGGCGUAAAGCGCACGUAGGCUGACAUUUAAGUCAGGGGUGAAAUCCCGGGGCUCAACCUCGGAACUGCCUUUGAUACUGGGUGUCUUGAGUGUGGAAGAGGUAAGUGGAAUUGCGAGUGUAGAGGUGAAAUUCGUAGAUAUUCGCAGGAACACCAGUGGCGAAGGCGGCUUACUGGUCCACAACUGACGCUGAGGUGCGAAAGCGUGGGGAGCAAACAGGAUUAGAUACCCGGGUAGUCCCUGUCUCUUAUAC